CCCACCUUUGCUUGACUCUGUGUAACACCUGAGGCUUUGAGCUUUAAUGUUGUACUGUCUCCUGCCUGUGUGUAGGCCUCUUGGAAAAUGACCCGAAUCAAAAGAACCAGUGGCAGUUCUACGGGCACUUUGCUGCAUUGUUGUCAGCCCUUUAUGGUCACAGAGGCGGGGUAUUCCAAAACAUUACGAUGCAGGAGGUGUUGGGGGCACAAAGGUCCGUCUCGGAGAAGGCUUACCUGAUUAACGUGACAAGCCACAAAACCAAUCAAUAUUUUGGCCCUGCUCAAAUUGCCCUAACAGAGGAGGAGUGGGGUUGGGUGCAGCGCUUCUUAAGCAUCAAGGACAAGCUGCCAGGGGGGACGAACCCAAAAUACUUGUUUUUCACAUCAACACCCAACCCCUGUAAAAACCUAAAUAAUUACUUCCAGGACGCCUGGAAGUCAAUGGGCCUACCCGGGUGUCCCACCUUCACAGACGUGAGAAGCUCCAUCGCCAGCCACGCCAGGUUUACGCACUCCACAGAGGACCGGCUCAAAAUCUCCAAGUUUAUGUGCCACGACCUGAGGACAGCCGACAAAUUCUACGUGGUGAACCUCUCUGCCCAGCAGGCCAUGGAGCACCGCCGUCUAUUUGAGAGUGCUUUAGAGGGAGCAGAAAGGAGCCCAUCGAAGCAGAGUCCUGUGAAAAGGAAGAGGCCUUCGAAGACGGAGAAGAGCAGAAAGAAGCGGCGCCAGAGGCCUGAUGAGUCACCAAAGAGCACCACCUCAGAAGAGCUGGUGCUACAGCUGCAGGAAUCCGGCACAUCAAGUCUCGAGGGCACUGAGAGUGAAAGAACGGCCGGGGAGGACGGUGGAAGCAGUGAGCCGGAAGGAGGAGCAGAAGGCACAAAGCACACCCAGAGUGCCGAGGUUCAACCCAAAUUAAAAUUAGAGGAAGGACAACAGCCUAGACGAAAAUACCCCACCCGUACGAAAGGCGCACUAAGGACCGUCAUGAAGCCCCAAAGCGUAUCUCCCCUCAAAGUACGAAAGUCGAGCUUUUCUCCGAACUCUACAACGCUCAUGGGAAUGAGCCGGCAGAAAAAGGCAUCAAGAAUGGUCAAGAGGGCCAUUGAAAAGCGCAAGAGGCGCAGAUAGACACUUUUGCACCUCACAAUGCACUUUAUUGGACUGAACUGUUCUGUUCAACCUUACAUUGUACUUUAUUUGUGUUAAGUGUUCUGUUAGUUAUUUGUGUGUACUGUUCUUUUACAUAUGUUUCUUGCUUGCUGUGAUUGUUUCCAAGUGUUCUAAUGUUUGUUCCUUAAUUAUUGUUCAAUAAAACAACUUGUUAUUGCAA
RNAcentral lists this long non-coding RNA (1338 nucleotides) under Danio rerio (zebrafish). RNAcentral's name for it is "lncRNA si:ch73-65n21.1 (ENSDARG00000098037.2)". Lineage: Eukaryota; Metazoa; Chordata; Actinopteri; Cypriniformes; Danionidae. The record is from RNAcentral.